This 497-nucleotide ribosomal RNA is filed under the name uncultured bacterium. RNAcentral describes it as "partial 16S ribosomal RNA". It matches the Rfam family "Bacterial small subunit ribosomal RNA", at positions 28 to 507 of the family's 1533-position model. The record is from RNAcentral.
GAUGAACGCUGGCGGCGUGCCUAAUACAUGCAAGUCGAGCGAACGGACGAGAAGCUCGCUUUUCUGAUGUUAGCGGCGGACGGGUGAGUAACACGUGGAUAACCUACCUAUAAGACUGGGAUAACUUCGGGAAACCGGAGCUAAUACCGGAUAAUAUUUUGAACCGCAUGGUUCAAAAGUGAAAGACGGUCUUGCUGUCACUUAUAGAUGGAUCCGCGCUGCAUUAGCUAGUUGGUAAGGUAACGGCUUACCAAGGCAACGAUGCAUAGCCGACCUGAGAGGGUGAUCGGCCACACUGGAACUGAGACACGGUCCAGACUCCUACGGGAGGCAGCAGUAGGGAAUCUUCCGCAAUGGGCGAAAGCCUGACGGAGCAACGCCGCGUGAGUGAUGAAGGUCUUCGGAUCGUAAAACUCUGUUAUUAGGGAAGAACAUAUGUGUAAGUAACUGUGCACAUCUUGACGGUACCUAAUCAGAAAGCCACGGCUAACUACGUG